GGGGGGGGGGGGGGGGGGGGCGAGCGGGUGCGGGGCGGGCGGGAGCGCAGUAGGAGCGUGCGCUUACGGGUGGGGAGUGGCGGACGGGUGAGGAAUACAUCGGGAUCUACUUUUUCGUGGGGGAUAACGUAGGGAAACUUACGCUACUACCGCAUACGACCUACGGGUGAAAGCAGGGGCUCUUCGGACCUUGCGCGAUUGAAUGAGCCGAUGUCGGAUUAGCUAGUUGGCGGGGUAAAGGCCCACCAAGGCGACGAUCCGUAGCUGGUCUGAGAGGAUGAUCAGCCACACUGGAACUGAGACACGGUCCAGACUCCUACGGGAGGCAGCAGUGGGGAAUAUUGGACAAUGGGCGCAAGCCUGAUCCAGCAAUACCGCGUGGGUGAAGAAGGCCUUCGGGUUGUAAAGCCCUUUUGUUGGGAAAGAAAAGCAGCAGGUUAAUACCCCGCUGUUCUGACGGUACCCAAAGAAUAAGCACCGGCUAACUUCGUG
This 492-nucleotide ribosomal RNA is filed under the name uncultured bacterium. Its description in RNAcentral is "partial 16S ribosomal RNA". It matches the Rfam family "Bacterial small subunit ribosomal RNA", at positions 35 to 507 of the family's 1533-position model. The record is from RNAcentral.